This 231-nucleotide ribosomal RNA is filed under the name proteobacterium enrichment culture clone E151. RNAcentral describes it as "partial 16S ribosomal RNA". It matches the Rfam family "Bacterial small subunit ribosomal RNA", at positions 259 to 507 of the family's 1533-position model. The record is from RNAcentral. Lineage: Bacteria; Pseudomonadati; Pseudomonadota.
AAUGGCUCACCAAGGCUACGAUCAGUAGCUGGUCUGAGAGGAUGACCAGCCACAUUGGGACUGAGACACGGCCCAAACUCCUACGGGAGGCAGCAGUGGGGAAUCUUGCGCAAUGGGCGAAAGCCUGACGCAGCCAUGCCGCGUGAAUGAUAAAGGUCUUAGGAUUGUAAAAUUCUUUCNCCGGGGACGAUAAUGACGGUACCCGGAGAAGAAGCCCCGGCUAACUUCGUG